GAAACUAAAAGAAUUUGGCGGCAAUUUAAUUUUUCAGAGGAACUUGUUCCGUUAUCGAUAUUCCUCGAUUUGUUUACUUACUUUUAUUUAGCUUAUAUAUCGUUGUUAUAAGAAUAUAUUUGUAGAUUUAUUUUCUUUAUUUUUGGAAAAUUAUAUUUCAGAUCAAGGUUUAGUUUAUAUGUAAGUGAGAAUGAGUUACAUUAAAAGAAUUUAUAUGAAUGUUAAUUUUUGUAUUUAAUUGAAGGUGGAUUUGAGAGUAAUUUUAUUUAAUUAGGUAUUUUGAAGUUAAGUCUAGCUUGUGU
RNAcentral lists this ribosomal RNA (302 nucleotides) under Zorotypus juninensis. Its description in RNAcentral is "partial 12S ribosomal RNA". Lineage: Eukaryota; Metazoa; Arthropoda; Insecta; Zoraptera; Zorotypidae. The record is from RNAcentral.